AGAGUUUGAUUAUGGCUCAGAACGAACGCUGGCGGCGCGCCUAAUACAUGCAAGUCGAGCGAGAAGGUGUAGCAAUACACUUGUAAAGCGGCGAACGGGUGAGGAAUACAUGGGUAAUCUACCAUCGAGUGGGGAAUAACCAGCCGAAAGGUUGGCUAAUACCGCGUACGCUUCCGAAUCUUCGGGUUCGGAAGGAAAGCCGCGCUGUGAGUGCGGCGCUCUUUGAUGAGCUCAUGUCCUAUCAGCUUGUUGGUAGGGUAACGGCCUACCAAGGCUUUGACGGGUAGCUGGUCUGAGAGGACGAUCAGCCACACUGGCACUGCGACACGGGCCAGACUCCUACGGGAGGCAGCAGUAAGGAAUAUUGCGCAAUGGGCGAAAGCCUGACGCAGCGACGCCGCGUGGGGGAUGAAGGUCUUCGGAUUGUAAACCCCUUUCGGGAGGGAAGAUGGAGCGAGCAAUCGUUCGGACGGUACCUCCAGAAGCAGCCACGGCCAACUUCGUGCCAGCAGCCGCGGUAAUACGAAGGUGGCAAGCGUUGUUCGGAUUCACUGGGCGUACAGGGUGUGUAGGCGGUUUGGUAAGCCUUCUGUUAAAGCUUCGGGCCCAACCCGGAAAGCGCAGAGGGUACUGCCAGGCUAGAGGGUGGGAGAGGAGCGCGGAAUUCCCGGUGUAGCGGUGAAAUGCGUAGAGAUCGGGAGGAAGGCCGGUGGCGAAGGCGGCGCUCUGGAACAUACCUGACGCUGAGACACGAAAGCGUGGGGAGCAAACAGGAUUAGAUACCCUGGUAGUCCACGCCCUAAACUAUGGAUACUAAGUGUCGGCGGUUUACCGCCGGUGCCGCAGCUAACGCAUUAAGUAUCCCGCCUGGGAAGUACGGCCGCAAGGUUGAAACUCAAAUGAAUUGACGG
Molecule: ribosomal RNA, 911 nt
Filed under: uncultured bacterium
Lineage: Bacteria
Description: bacterial SSU rRNA
Rfam family: Bacterial small subunit ribosomal RNA
Source: RNAcentral